This is a long non-coding RNA of Oreochromis aureus, 1250 nucleotides long. RefSeq lists it as uncharacterized. Lineage: Eukaryota; Metazoa; Chordata; Actinopteri; Cichliformes; Cichlidae. The record is from RefSeq and is a predicted model, not a curated record. The transcript has 3 exons.
CCCUCCAUGGGGGUGGAGUGGUUUUAGGGGUUGGGCCAGAAUCUGCUUAGGCCGUUACAGCAAUCUGGGUCACUCGGCUGGGAGAGAAAGAGCCCCUUUAACUGGAUGACCUCAUUGCUCCUGCAUUAUCAUUAUUUUCCCAGUCAGUCACUACGCUGAGAUACAUGGAGACUGUGCACCAGGAAGUACAUCCGAUUCCCCCACGACGCACACACAAACACUAACCCAAGGGAGAGGAAACGUAGUUACGACAGCUCAGACAUAUGUGACCCUGAAACCCUCUCUGCUUCCAUGCUACAAGAUCAAACAUCUCAUGGGUGGAAUUUCAUUUGUGCUGCGAAGAGGGCCCCAUUUUCUCACCAUUCCAUCUCUGCCUUCAGAGCCCGGAGCUCCUGCCAAUGGCUGUUAGAGGAAUCUGAUUUGUGUUGAUUACAUUAACAUUCUCCAGAUGUUCAUAGUCAGAGAUCUGACGCUUCUGUCGCACAACUGUCUCAUCUUGGAGAGCAAAGAGAUGCAGGGCUACAUCGUGUGAGCGCUGUGAGGGAAUGCUGUAUGUCAACAGAGUGUGAGCAGACACAUGAGAUGAACGUGGAGUGGGUUCAAAGGAAAUGAGGUGUGAGCUUUAAGGAGAAAUAUAGCUGCAGUGGACGAGAAGGAAAAGACAGAAGGAAACUGGAUACAAGUGAGGCAGAAAAUAAAUGAACCUCAUGAAACAAGCAUAUCAAGCUGGACAGAAAUGGUGAAGUGAAACUUUGAUUGAAGGAAGUGUGAGUCUGCAAAGAAGAACAGCAGAAGAGCUUCAGUUACAGCGGAGAGUCAUUUUCCUGAGCAGUGUCCAGUCCAUCUGUUUGAUUUGGCCUUUACAGGGUUUGGUGUUUUUGGUGCUUGCUGGAUGGCCACAGGAAGUGGUCCACCCCCCCUUCCCCUGUCCCCUGGGUCAUCAGAAGGAAACACGAUCCCCUUAAUAUGGUCUGAUGUCGUCCUCCACCGAGUGCUGGUCCUGAGCACUACAUGGGGGCUCAACAGGGGAGCUGAAGUCAGCACUGGAAACAAAGAUAAAAUUUAAGUGUUAGAAGCUGCAAAAUACGAUUGAUAGCUGCAAGAUCAGCAGUUUAGUAUACUGCAUGGUUAAAAAAAACCUUAUUAAUAGAUAGAAACAUUAAACUAUUCCAACCUAAAAUAGAUAUUCUUUUAAUGUGUUUGUGUAAUAUUCAUUCUAGUAUAGGAAGUGUAUUUACAGAGUGUUCAGA